UAUUACUCUAUGUAGCACUUGUAUCAUGGAAUAAAAUAAAAUCUAAAUCAAGUCUAUUCCUGCCUACUUUUAGAUACUUUGCAGCGCUAAUGGAUGCUGAUUACUAGCUGUGGCUUUGUUAGCCUGGGCUAGACAUCAUCCACAGGCUUGGUUUUGUGCUCUGGAAUCACAGAAUCAUAGCAUGGUUUGAGUUGGAAGGGACCCUUAAAGAUCAUCUAGUCCAACUCCCGUGCAGUAAACAGGGGUACCUACAGCUCAAUUAGAGUGAUCAGAGCCCCAUCCAGCCUCACCUUGAAUGUCUCCAGGGACAGUGGAAAACAAGAUGAAUUUCAUCAUUGUUUUUAAUGAGCAAUAGGCAAAUCAAUGAGAAAUGAAAGUGCAUGAUCUGAAGUGCUGUGAUCAACUCAGACUGUGUUUGUAUCCCUGCUCCAGUCCAGUAGUGUGUUGCCAGAAUUGGUAUGUUAUUUCAAAACUCACCAGAGUGGCUACGUGGCCUGUUUUAGGAAGAAGUGCCUUUCUCAGGGCCUUGAGAUACUCUUAACUAAAACAUGCUUACAGCACUGUAUCUCAUGGUAGCAUCACUGAAGUGACAUAUAUGGAAGCAGAGGGG
RNAcentral lists this long non-coding RNA (610 nucleotides) under Gallus gallus (chicken). The record is from RNAcentral. Lineage: Eukaryota; Metazoa; Chordata; Aves; Galliformes; Phasianidae.